This 313-nucleotide long non-coding RNA is filed under the name Populus trichocarpa (black cottonwood). RNAcentral describes it as "long non-coding RNA (PTRI_LNC003347)". Lineage: Eukaryota; Viridiplantae; Streptophyta; Magnoliopsida; Malpighiales; Salicaceae. The record is from RNAcentral.
UUAUACACACACAUAUAAAGUAUGAUUCAAAUUAUCCAAUAUAUGACAUUUUUCUUGCAUCCCAAAUCGUAAGCAAAGAAUUCCUCCUCGACGGCACGAAAAAUUAAAAUACGCUUUAGAAACAAAGAGAAGGAAUCUGUACACCUUUUAAAAAAAAAAAAAAAAAGAAACGACGUGCAGGUCGGCAGAAGUCCCAUCUCUAGCAUAGCCAAAUGGGUGUGGAUUGUCGAAAGCUUUCCAAGGUGGGGUUUGCCCAAAUUGGAUUUCCUUUACACAGAGGAAUCAUUACUGUCCACAUGGUUUCAUCCGCAGA